AACCUACUCACUCCGUUCGAAAUUGCUUGUCUCGGAAAUGGAUGUAUCUGGAACUAAAAUAUGUCUAGAUACAUCCAUUUCUACGACAAGUAAUUUCGAACGGAGGAAGUACUAA
Molecule: non-coding RNA, 115 nt
Organism: Triticum aestivum (bread wheat)
Lineage: Eukaryota; Viridiplantae; Streptophyta; Magnoliopsida; Poales; Poaceae
Source: Rfam